AGCAGCCGCGGUAAUUCCAGCUCCAAUAGCGUAUAUUAAAGUUGUUGUGGUUAAAAGCUCGUAGUUGAACCUUGGGCCUGGCUGGCCGGUCCGCCUCACCGCGUGUACUGGUCCGGCCGGGCCUUUCCCUCUGUGGAACCCCAUGCCCUUCACUGGGUGUGGCGGGGAAACAGGACUUUUACUUUGAAAAAUUAGAGUGCUCCAGGCAGGCCUAUGCUCGAAUACAUUAGCAUGGAAUAAUAGAAUAGGACGUGCGGUUCUAUUUUGUUGGUUUCUAGGACCGCCGUAAUGAUUAAUAGGGACAGUCGGGGGCAUCAGUAUUCAAUUGUCAGAGGUGAAAUUCUUGGAUUUAUUGAAGACUAACUACUGCGAAAGCAUUUGCCAAGGAUGUUUUCAUUAAUCAGGAACGAAAGUUAGGGAUCGAAGACGAUCAGAUACGUCGUAGUCUUAACCAUAAACUAUGCCGACUAGGGAUCGGACGAUUGUUAUUUUUGACUUCGUUCGGCUACCUUACGGGAAC
RNAcentral lists this unclassified non-coding RNA (520 nucleotides) under uncultured Paraglomus. RNAcentral's name for it is "SSU rRNA". It matches the Rfam family "Eukaryotic small subunit ribosomal RNA", at positions 569 to 1097 of the family's 1831-position model. The record is from RNAcentral. Lineage: Eukaryota; Fungi; Glomeromycota; Glomeromycetes; Paraglomerales; Paraglomeraceae.